This 67-nucleotide transfer RNA is filed under the name Pseudalutarius nasicornis (rhino leatherjacket). RNAcentral describes it as "tRNA-Ser(AGY)". The record is from RNAcentral. Lineage: Eukaryota; Metazoa; Chordata; Actinopteri; Tetraodontiformes; Monacanthidae.
GAGAGGCGCUUGCAGCACCGAAAACUGCUAAUUUUCGCCUCCUCGGUUGAAUUCCGAGGGCCCCUCG